GACAGAGGGUGCGAACGUUGUUCGGAAUUACUGGGCGUAAAGCGCGUGUAGGCGGCAGCGUAAGUCGGGCGUGAAAUCCCACGGCUCAACCGUGGAAGUGCACUCGAAACUGCGCAGCUAGAGUCCUGGAGAGGAAGGUGGAAUGCUUGGUGUAGAGGUGAAAUUCGUAGAUAUUCGGAAGAACACCAGUGGCGAAGGCGGCUCACUGGACUGGUAUUGACGCUGAGGUGCGAAAGCGUGGGGAGCAAACAGG
RNAcentral lists this ribosomal RNA (253 nucleotides) under uncultured bacterium. Its description in RNAcentral is "partial 16S ribosomal RNA". It matches the Rfam family "Bacterial small subunit ribosomal RNA", at positions 524 to 776 of the family's 1533-position model. The record is from RNAcentral.